Molecule: ribosomal RNA, 1061 nt
Filed under: Francisella endosymbiont of Dermacentor variabilis
Lineage: Bacteria; Pseudomonadati; Pseudomonadota; Gammaproteobacteria; Thiotrichales; Francisellaceae
Description: bacterial SSU rRNA
Rfam family: Bacterial small subunit ribosomal RNA
Source: RNAcentral
UAUCUGUGGAUUAAAGGUGGCUUUUGGGCUGUCGCAGAUGGAUGAGCCUGCGUUGGAUUAGCUAGUUGGUGAGGUAAGGGCCUACCAAGGCUACGAUCCAUAGCUGAUUUGAGAGGAUGAUCAGCCACAUUGGGACUGAGACACGGCCCAAACUCCUACGGGAGGCAGCAGUGAGGAAUAUUGGACAAUGGGGGCAACCCUGAUCCAGCAAUGCCAUGUGUGUGAAGAAGGCCUUAGGGUUGUAAAGCACUUUAGUUGGGGAAGAAAGCUUUGAGGUUAAUAGCCUUGAGGAAAAGGACGUUACCCAAAGAAUAAGCACCGGCUAACUCCGUGCCAGCAGCCGCGGUAAUACGGGGGGUGCAAGCGUUAAUCGGAAUUACUGGGCGUAAAGGGUCUGUAGGUGGUUUGUUAAGUCAGAUGUGAAAGCCUAGGGCUCAACCUUGGAACUGCAUUUGAUACUGGUAAACUAGAGUACGGUAGAGGAAUGGGGAAUUUCUGGUGUAGCGGUGAAAUGCGUAGAGAUCAGAAGGAACACCAAUGGCGAAGGCAACAUUCUGGACCGAUACUGACACUGAGGGACGAAAGCGUGGGGAUCAAACAGGAUUAGAUACCCUGGUAGUCCACGCUGUAAACGAUGAGUACUAGCUGUUGGAGUCGGUGUAAAGGCUCUAGUGGCGCAGCUAACGCGAUAAGUACUCCGCCUGGGGACUACGGCCGCAAGGCUAAAACUCAAAGGAAUUGACGGGGACCCGCACAAGCGGUGGAGCAUGUGGUUUAAUUCGAUGCAACGCGAAGAACCUUACCUGGUCUUGACAUCCUGCGAUCUUUCUAGAGAUAGAUUGGUGCCUUCGGGAACGCAGUGACAGGUGCUGCACGGCUGUCGUCAGCUCGUGUUGUGAAAUGUUGGGUUAAGUCCCGCAACGAGCGCAACCCCUAUUGAUAGUUACCAUCAUUAAGUUGGGUACUCUAUUGAGACUGCCGCUGACAAGGCGGAGGAAGGUGGGGACGACGUCAAGUCAUCAUGGCCUUUACGACCAGGGCUACACACGUGCUACAAUGGG